This 433-nucleotide ribosomal RNA is filed under the name uncultured bacterium. Its description in RNAcentral is "partial 16S ribosomal RNA". It matches the Rfam family "Bacterial small subunit ribosomal RNA", at positions 29 to 507 of the family's 1533-position model. The record is from RNAcentral.
AACGAACGCUGGCGGCAUGCCUAACACAUGCAAGUCGAACGAGACCUUCGGGUCUAGUGGCGCACGGGUGCGUAACGCGUGGGAACCUGCCCUUAGGUUCGGAAUAACUCCCCGAAAGGGGUGCUAAUACCGGAUAAUGUCUUCGGACCAAAGAUUUAUCGCCUUUGGAUGGGCCCGCGUUGGAUUAGCUAGAUGGUAGGGUAAAAGCCUACCAAGGCGACGAUCCAUAGCUGGUCUGAGAGGAUGAUCAGCCACACUGGGACUGAGACACGGCCCAGACUCCUACGGGAGGCAGCAGUGGGGAAUAUUGGGCAAUGGGCGAAAGCCUGAUCCAGCAAUGCCGCGUGAGUGAUGAAGGCCUUAGGGUUGUAAAGCUCUUUUACCCGGGAUGAUAAUGACAGUACCGGGAGAAUAAGCUCCGGCUAACUCCGUG